This 467-nucleotide ribosomal RNA is filed under the name uncultured bacterium. RNAcentral describes it as "partial 16S ribosomal RNA". It matches the Rfam family "Bacterial small subunit ribosomal RNA", at positions 29 to 507 of the family's 1533-position model. The record is from RNAcentral.
ACGAACGCUGGCGGCGCGCCUAACACAUGCAAGUCGAACGGAGCUGAGAGAAGCUUGCUUUUCUUAGCUUAGUGGCGAACGGGUGAGUAACGCGUGAGUAACCUGCCCUGGAGUGGGGGACAACAGUUGGAAACGACUGCUAAUACCGCAUAAGCCCACGAUCCGGCAUCGGAUUGAGGGAAAAGGAUUUAUUCGCUUCAGGAUGGACUCGCGUCCAAUUAGCUAGUUGGUGAGGUAACGGCCCACCAAGGCGACGAUUGGUAGCCGGACUGAGAGGUUGAACGGCCACAUUGGGACUGAGACACGGCCCAGACUCCUACGGGAGGCAGCAGUGGGGGAUAUUGCACAAUGGGGGAAACCCUGAUGCAGCGACGCCGCGUGGAGGAAGAAGGUUUUCGGAUUGCAAACUCCUGUCGUUAGGGACGAUAAUGACGGUACCUAACAAGAAAGCACCGGCUAACUACGUG